RNAcentral lists this long non-coding RNA (1080 nucleotides) under Macaca fascicularis (crab-eating macaque). RNAcentral's name for it is "lncRNA (ENSMFAG00000051041.1)". Lineage: Eukaryota; Metazoa; Chordata; Mammalia; Primates; Cercopithecidae. The record is from RNAcentral.
CUUUUUUUUUUUUUUUUUUUUUUUUUUGGAUGAACUGCUGUUCUUACUCUUCUCCUGGUGCCUAUUAGCAGUUUAUCUUUCUGUGCAUCUAUCUGUAGCAGUUGGACAAAUGGAAAUGGCAAACAUCUUUAGUCAAUGAGGAAAAAAAUUGUGUACUACUUUUGUCUAAUCAGUGCCAUUUCUUCCUAAUUAUCUCCCUUGGAGAGAUUAUUAUGCCAAAUUAAAAAUUUUUAAUUAAAGUCAAGCUAAAUUUCAUAUAUCAAUAUAUCACUCUACCUGCUAGUCUAGUCUCUGUUAUAAAGGAUUGGUUUGAAAGUGCAUUAGUCUGUGCAGGCUGCUAUAACAAAAUACCAUAAAACAGGUAGCUUUUAAAGUACAGUAAUUUAUUUUUGACAGUUUUGGAAGCUGGAAAAUCCAAAAUCAAAACACCAACAGGCUGGGCAUGCAGCUCACGCCUAUAUCCCAGCACUUUGGGAGGCCGAGGUGGGUGGAUCACUUGAGGUCAAGAAUUGAGACCUGGCCAACAUGGUGAAACCCUCUCUCUACUAAAAAUACAAAAAAUUAGCUGGGCAUGGUGGUGGGUGCCUGUAAUGCAACUGCCCAGAAGGCUGAGGCAGGAGAAUUGCUUGAACAUGGGAGGUAGAGGUUGCAGUGAGCCAAGAUCAUACCACUGCACUCCAGCCGGGGCUACAGAGUGAGACUCCAGCUCAAAAAAAAAAAAACAAACAAAAAACCCGACAGAUUCAGUGUCUGAUGAGGGCCCUUGUUCUGAUACAUAAAUAGUGCCUUCUUGAUGUACCCUCACAUGGUAGAAGGAGCAAACAAGCACCUCGGGCCUCUUUCAUAAGGGAACUAAUCCCAUUGAUGAGGGUUCUGUCCUUAGGAUUUAAUUACCUCCCACUAAGGGCCCCCAUUUCUUAAUACGAUCACCUUGGGGGUUAGAAUUUCAACAUAUGAAUUUAGGGGAGACACAAGCUUUCAGAUCACAGCAGAGAGGUAUUUUUUUGUUUGUUUUGUUUUUGUUUUUUCUUUUUUUGUUUUUUAAGCCAUAUUCUUAGUUUGGGUGUGGUGGUGCAUACC